This 351-nucleotide long non-coding RNA is filed under the name Gossypium barbadense (sea-island cotton). RNAcentral describes it as "long non-coding RNA (GBAR_LNC005855)". Lineage: Eukaryota; Viridiplantae; Streptophyta; Magnoliopsida; Malvales; Malvaceae. The record is from RNAcentral.
GAAGAGAAAAAAAUGGAAUGGGAGGGGUGUGAGCCUAAAUGUCCUUAUUGAAAACUAAAGUGCUAACGAGCAAGAAAAGACCCCUUACUAUAGUAAGGGGCCCUUUCUUGCAGGAUGCCGGGUGCGCAGGAACGCCCAACCUAUACCUCAGACCCCUUACUAUAGUAAGGGGCCUUUUCUUCCAAGAUGCCGGGUGCACAAGAACGCCCAACCUAUACCUCAGACCCCUUACUAUAGUAAGGGGCCAUUUCUUGUAGGAUGCCGGGUGCGCAGGAACGCCCAACCUAUACAAGAGAUUUCCGCCUUCAUUUGGUCGUGCUGCUAUGAUGUAACGUGCAGUCGUCCCGAGGC